Molecule: long non-coding RNA, 210 nt
Filed under: Malus domestica (apple)
Lineage: Eukaryota; Viridiplantae; Streptophyta; Magnoliopsida; Rosales; Rosaceae
Description: long non-coding RNA (MDOM_LNC002568)
Source: RNAcentral
AAGUGGAUCCGGAGAGGAUCAUCUUCCUCAAAAGACAAUCACAAAAGCCUGCCAAGAUAUAUGUAUAAGAGUUCAUCCCAAAUUCAAGGAUCCUAGGAUCCUCACAAAAAUGAUCCAGAGAGGAUCCUCAUUGCAAACCCAAUAUUCCAAUUGGAUACCACUUUAACACUCUCAAAUUACUUUGUUGAAUAUCAAAUUUGAGAUUUAUGU